AACCGUUCGGGGGUAAACGGACAGAGCCCGUGAAUCCGGGCGCGCGGAAUUCAGGACCGAUGGGGGACUUCGUCGAUUCGAUAUUUCCGCCGCCGACCAGUAACUGGUGCGGACGUCGCGACCCGUUCGCCGUCGGUCUGACGAAACGCGUUUCAAGUUCGNUCGUACGUUCGCGGUGUCGGACGGCGAUGGCGCGUCUUUCGGGCUACGUCGUGGACGGUAGCACAAGCGCGGGUAAUCGACGCGACCUCGGCCGGACGUCAAAACUUCGGUCGUGUCGUGCGUCGACGCCGGUCAGCGACGAAUCUUCGGGCCUCUUUCCGACCCGUCUUGAAACACGGACCAAGGAGUCUAACGUGCGCGCGAGUCGCGGGGUAUUCGAGCCGUAACGCAGCUCGUCACAAUACGAAACCCGUACACGUACGUUGUGCUAAGGCGUAAUGAAAGUGAGGUGGCCGUCUUCGCGCGUCCACGGGGAAGAUGGUGUUUCGUACACGUAUUUCUCGGACGCACGGUUCCGAGACCGGACAUCCGCAUUCCCAGGGCGUCCCGUUCGUCCGUCGCGGGCGCGGACGUACGUCGGCUCGCGACGAACUGGGGCGCACCUUUAGCGUGCACGUUGGUACCCGAAAGAUGGUGAACUAUGCCCGGCCAGGAUGAAGUCAGGGGAAACCCUGAUGGAGGUCCGCAGCGAUUCUGACGUGCAAAUCGAUCGUCUGAGCUGGGUAUAGGGGCGAAAGACUAAUCGAACCAUCUA
This 757-nucleotide ribosomal RNA is filed under the name Pulvinarisca sp. 2 JC-2019. RNAcentral describes it as "partial large subunit ribosomal RNA". It matches the Rfam family "Eukaryotic large subunit ribosomal RNA", at positions 403 to 946 of the family's 3401-position model. Lineage: Eukaryota; Metazoa; Arthropoda; Insecta; Hemiptera; Coccidae. The record is from RNAcentral.